AAUGUCGUAACAAGGGUUUUCCGUAGGUGAACCUGCGGAAGGAUCAUUUACAAAGUAAAAUGCUGGUAGGAAGUGGGGGUUCUUGAUCUGUGAGUGGUAGAGCGGACAGUCCGGCUGCCUCCCGGAAAACUGUCUUACAUGUCCCCCAACAGCCUGAAGGCCGAAUUUACAACCCUUGACUAUCUACACUUGUUGCUUUGGGGGCUGCUCAAGUGCCCCAAGAGGACCCAACUCUCUUGCAUUUAAGUGACGCUGAGUACUAUAUAAUAUUUAAAAU
RNAcentral lists this unclassified non-coding RNA (277 nucleotides) under plant metagenome. RNAcentral's name for it is "partial contains small subunit ribosomal RNA and internal transcribed spacer 1". The record is from RNAcentral.